Molecule: ribosomal RNA, 900 nt
Filed under: Latilactobacillus sakei
Lineage: Bacteria; Bacillati; Bacillota; Bacilli; Lactobacillales; Lactobacillaceae
Description: bacterial SSU rRNA
Rfam family: Bacterial small subunit ribosomal RNA
Source: RNAcentral
UCCGGAUCGUAAAACUCUGUUCUUGGGAGAAGAAAGUAUCUGAAUAGUAACCGUUCCAGUUGGUGCCGGUUUCCAACCAGAAAAGCCCCGGCUAAUUUCGUGCCAGCAGCCGCGGUAAUACGUAGGUGGCAAGCGUUGUCCCGGAUUUAUUGGGCGUAAAGCGAGCGCAGGCGGUUUCUUAAGUCUGAUGUGAAAGCCUUCGGCUCAACCGAAGAAGUGCAUCGGAAACUGGGAAACUUGAGUGCAGAAGAGGACAGUGGAACUCCAUGUGUAGCGGUGAAAUGCGUAGAUAUAUGGAAGAACACCAGUGGCGAAGGCGGCUGUCUGGUCUGUAACUGACGCUGAGGCUCGAAAGCAUGGGUAGCAAACAGGAUUAGAUACCCUGGUAGUCCAUGCCGUAAACGAUGAGUGCUAGGUGUUGGAGGGUUUCCGCCCUUCAGUGCCGCAGCUAACGCAUUAAGCACUCCGCCUGGGGAGUACGACCGCAAGGUUGAAACUCAAAGGAAUUGACGGGGGCCCGCACAAGCGGUGGAGCAUGUGGUUUAAUUCGAAGCAACGCGAAGAACCUUACCAGGUCUUGACAUCCUUUGACCACUCUAGAGAUAGAGCUUUCCCUUCGGGGACAAAGUGACAGGUGGUGCAUGGUUGUCGUCAGCUCGUGUCGUGAGAUGUUGGGUUAAGUCCCGCAACGAGCGCAACCCUUAUUACUAGUUGCCAGCAUUUAGUUGGGCACUCUAGUGAGACUGCCGGUGACAAACCGGAGGAAGGUGGGGACGACGUCAAAUCAUCAUGCCCCUUAUGACCUGGGCUACACACGUGCUACAAUGGAUGGUACAACGAGUUGCGAGACCGCGAGGUUUAGCUAAUCUCUUAAAACCAUUCUCAGUUCGGAUUGUAGGU